RNAcentral lists this long non-coding RNA (6017 nucleotides) under Gossypium barbadense (sea-island cotton). RNAcentral describes it as "long non-coding RNA (GBAR_LNC000695)". Lineage: Eukaryota; Viridiplantae; Streptophyta; Magnoliopsida; Malvales; Malvaceae. The record is from RNAcentral.
UAGUUUGAAAAUAACUAAGCAACAGCAAGAUAACAAAAAAAUAGCAAAUAAACAAUAAAAUAAACGAAGUGGAAAUAAAGUGGUCCGUUGGCUUUGUUAGGACCUUCAUACUCCCCAGAUUGCAACCCAGUUGAUCAGAGGGGAGCCUCUUCUCACUCUUCCAAAAUUUCACCCUUCUGUUUCCUUUUUCCUCUCAAAAGAUCUAUUGCCAUUCCUCGGAGUGGACCCUUUUGGCCAUUUCUUGAGUCAGUUAGCCUCGUUGGCUGUCCGAUCUUCUCUCCUCCUCCAUUUUUCCCACGGCGAACUCCGGCACUUCCCCUACCAGGUAAGCUUGCUCCCUUAAUUUUAAUCCUCCCAUCGCUAAAACAUGCGCUUGGUCGUUCCUCUCCCUUGUGUGGGAGAACAAACGGGUUGGAAAUCAUCUUUUAACGAUUUUACAUUUUCAAUGAAAGCACUUAUAUAUAAUAGGCUAUAUUUUGUUUUCUUUAAUUUUUGCAGUUAUAUUUUGAAAUUGUAUAAUUUGCCAUUCAAUUAUUAGUGUGAUUGAAUUUUACCACUAAACUUUAAUUUUUUUUAAAAGAAUUUCCAUAAACUUUGAUUUUUAGUUAAAAAUUUAGCACUUAAUAUUAAUUUUGAUGAAAAAAAAUUGAACUUUAACUACUAAUCAAAAGUUACUUAAAGUUCAUACUUUUAUGUAUUAUAGAUAGAUAAGUCAUAAAUAUUUAAUUUAAUCAAGUUACAUAUUCAACUUUAACUACUAAUAAAUUAAGCCAUUUAUACUAACAUUGUAACACUCUCGACUCGAUUUGAUUGGUUGGAUCCAGAUCUUAGGUAUUAUCAAGUUAAUACAAAUAAAAACUCAAUCUACUUUUACAAAUUACGAUCACUUACGUCUUACUUAAUCACAAAAUUUCUAAUUUGAAUAGAUAAACAUGUACAAGUAAAUAUAAUUACAUCACGUGGUAAUUAAAAUACAACAAUAUUUAAUUUGAAACUCUAAUACAAUACAGAUGCCCCAAAUAGGGACUUCUAAGUAAUAAUUCAGUCUUGGAAUACAUCGCCAAUCUUGCUCUGUAUACACAAUAACCUGAUAUUUCACUUUUAGGGAUAGUCCUAACAUCGUCCCUCUUGACGUAGACUUACGUCAUCUCACUUAUAACAUAAUACAUACAGAUAAGUUUAUAAGAAUUUAGUAAGGAAAAUAUAAUUUACAUGAGUCAUAUUUGCACAUUGCAAUUGAUAGUUUAGAUAGAUGAUACCAUCGUCCUUAAACAUUCAACUUUGUCUCUGAUGAAUACUUCCUCAAGUUUUGUUUCCAUAUUCACAUCAGAUAUCAUACCUUACUUUGAAAUCACUUCUUCUUAUCGAAGUAUUCAAUACAUCAUUUACUUCUUUCAAUCAAAACAAUCAUAAAUCUUUAUCCAUUUUCUUUUCAGAGAUCAAUACAAUCAGUAACAACAUUACGCUUGCAAACUUACUUCUGAGCCAUCAAAUCAUCACAAUUCAAAAGAAUGUGUGCACAGACGAUAGAUACCUCCUUCAAACAUACAAAUUUUACAGUCUUAUUUUUAGACGAGUCAUAGCCUUAUAUAACUCGUUUUUACUGUACUAACCAUAUAGACAUAAAACCUUUCUAAUCUUACUGAUUUCACUUAAGAGUCAUGUUGAAUGCGCCUAAUCGAUUUAUUAUAGAACCUGCCACAAGAACAUUCUUUCCGAUAUGUCACCAAGGACUUUAUUUUGACGUAUCAUAUGGACAUUUCUUUCAGAGUUCGUCAUGAAUGAUACUUUUUCAUAUUGCGCUACGAAGGCGCUCCUUUAGGGUUUGCCAUAAGGGUAUUUUCUUCCUAAUGUGUUUGUGAUAUGAAUUUGCCUAGACUCACAUUUCGUGAGAUUUGCUUGUCAUUAUCCUAAGACAUGCAGAAAAAAUCCAUUAGGCUAUAGCCAUGACCAUGGACUUUCCAUUCAGGGUUCUUAUUUAAAGUCCCGGCGAACCCUUUUGAACAUCACCGCGAUGAACAGACAUAAACUCUUCAUGCCCUUAUACAAUUUAAACCUAACCUUUUAUUCCACCAACAUAUAACCACAUACAUUCCCGACUCAUAAUACAAAUUCUAGGCAUACAUAUAACCAUACCUCAGCAUUACAUUAUUUAAUCACCAUUCAUCAUAUGCUUGAACUUAUCAUAUUCCAUACCAAUUAUACAUGCCAUCCUCAAUGAACAAUCAUACAUUCAUAGAUCUCAUUUAGUAAUUACUCAUAUAGUUACAUACAUAUCAUAUCGUACCUUUCGUGAUCUCGGCUUCAUAUUUCAUUUAGUAUGCCACAGAUCUAUUUGCAUGAAUAGUACAUAUGCAAAAGUCAGCAAAGAGGCUCACCUGACAAUCUCACAUAGCAGCUUAAAUUCUAGAUCCAACAAGAGAUUACAAUAACCACUACUUAUAAAACAAAAGAACACCAUUAAAACUCGUUUUAACCUCUACCGUCAUCUUAAACCUAGAUAACCCACAUAUAAAGCCUUACUUCUUUAUUUAACUAUUCAUGCACUUAUUCAAACUUAAUCUUUCAUAACUUUAACAUGUAGAGUUACAAUAUUUACCUUGACAUGUAGUAGUCACUAACAAAAAUCUAGAUUUACAACUCCAAUUUAUAGGAGAAAAAAAUACUUUCUGGUUUCUCCAGUAUCAGAUAACAAUACUUUAGAAGAAAGAAGGAAAAUUUUUUCUUUCUCUACCCUUAAUAUCGACAUAUUUAACCUAAGUCCUUAUUGGAACUUGACAUGUGUCACAACUCGUAAGAUUGUUUUUAUAAAUGGCUUACAGUUGUAGAGAGAACCUAAAUAAAAAUCCAAUAAAUUAUAUAUUUGGUUCUUCGGUUCUAUCCAUUUCUAUCCAAAUGGUUUUUAACGUAACUGGCACAGUAACUCAAUGAACUUGGCAUAUAAUACCUUCGACAAUAACUCCAACUUACAAAAUUCUCAAUACUCUUACCAAACUCCCUUUCCUUACAGCACAACACAUUCUAAGUUCGAUCCGUAUAUAAUAUUCCAAUAUCUGCUAUGCACUCAAAUUGUACACCAAAACAAUAAUUGGGCAGAUAGGCUACGCCUCACAAAUUACUCUCAGUCUACUCGCCAGAACUUAAAACCCAUCAAAACUAGGUGUUACAAACGCCGUCGAGUUAUUUUAAUGGAAAAAUUGAGUUAUCACUUCUAUUUAGCAAUUUUUUUCAAAUAAGCAAAUAAUAUAUAUUGUUAUUUUAAAUAAAUUUGUCUAAGCUUUUUUCCAAACAUAAAUUACUAGAGAAAUAAAAUUUAGUUUUGCAAUUCUGUAAGAAUGAAACCUUAAUCAAUUGAAUCAAUUUUUUUGAAUUUUUUUCUCAUUCUUCAUCAUUCAUUUUCAACCAUUAAAGAUUUGCAAUUGUUCCUUUAAACUUUCAUAAUCGAUCAUGGAGGUUUUUAUUCCUUGAUAUAGAGGUAGGGAUCAACAUUGAAAAGUCCUCGAGUUGCAGAUUUGACGUAGGGCUUUAGACUAAAUUGAAGGGAAUUGGCAUGUAAGCAACCUAAAACACAUAAGAAAUGUAACAACUCGAUAGGCAGGGGUGUUGAAAAGUGUAUAUCCGGGACUCUGUUCAUGUAAACCAGACUCGAAGUUAAUUAUUUAGUUAAUUAAAUUUUGGAUAGAUAAUUUACAUGAAUUAGGAGCUAUUAUGGUUUAAGGACUAAAUUGCGUAAAAGUAAAAAAUUCAAUUAUAAAUUGAAAUAAACUAAAGGGGCUAAAGUAAUAAUUAUGUAAUUUAAUAAAUGGUUGUGUAUAGGUGCCCGGUCAAGGGUUAAGUGUAAUGUGCUUUUAUAUAUUAUAUAUAUGUUAUAUAUUAAGUUAGAAUAAUAAUAGUAAUAAAUAAAAUGAAAACAAAAUUAAAAGAAAAAAGUGAAGUAGAAUGAGAGAGCACAUGCAAAUUAAAAGAAAAGAAAAGAAAGAACCAAAAGAGGCCGACGAUACUAAGGGCUUCAAACUUUCAAAUUUUAAUUGGUUAGUCAAUUUAGCCCCAUUUUCUUAUAAUUUUCAUAUUUUUGGAAUCACAGUACCUAGGUUCUAAUUUUUAGUAUUGUUUAAGAUUUUAGAUGUUGCUAUUGUUGAAUAGUUUAAGUAUUAGGAAUUAAAUAGAUAGAUUUUUAAGCUAGAAGUGGAAAAUGACUAAAUUGUGAAAUUAAUAGUUGAUUUUGAGUAAUAGGGACUAAAUUGAGAAAAUUUUGAAAUUGAAGGGUUGAAUUAGAAAAUGAGCUAAAUUUAGUUUAAAGUGAAAUUAGUAUAAAAAUAUAAAGUUAAAUGUGAAGGUUAAAAAUUAGUCUCGAUUUAGGGACUAAAUUGAAGUUUAAGCAAAUAAAGUGUAAAAUUUUAAUUUUAAUGUAAAAUUAAAUUAUGUAAUAUUAAUAUAUUUUAAUUGUUUUAUUCCGUAGCUAACGUCGUACCGGAAUCCUUGAGUAAAAAGGAGAAGGAUAAAAUUGACGUCGAAUAGCUCAGAAUUUACGGUUUGUGUGUUCUAUAAUCCUAAUUAAAUAACAGAUUGUUGUAUAAUUAAUUGUUUGCAUAUGGUAAGCAUUUGUGGUGGGUACUUUGGUACUUUUGGAUUAAAUUGAAUUCAUAGUAAAUUUGAAAGGGAUUCAUUUUGUGUAUUAUGAAAUAUGUUGAUUAUAUGAAUAUUGAAUUGACUAUAUGUGAUAGUGUAUAUAUGUGAAACUGAGACAUUAGUUGUAUUGAAAAGUGAAAUAAAACUCUAUUAACUGUAUCGGGCUGAGUUGGAUAUAGAUGGCAUGCCAUAGGAUAGGAAGAGUUCAAGGAUUUCUCUUAAGUCGAUGAGGCACUGGGUGCCAAUUUACUUUGGUUUAACUGAUGAGACAUUGGAUGUCAAUUUAUAUAGCACUGGGUACAGUUAUUAUUUUGGAAUUAACUAGACACUAGGUGCCAAAUUGGUGUGUUGGUUGGAUCUGUGUAUCUAUCCGAGUCUGAGUCAUGUUAAUAGGGAAAAUUAAAUAAUAAAUUUAUAUGUUUGAUAUUGAGAUGACCAUGUUGAGAAAUGAAUAUGAGAUGAGAAAAAGAAAUAUGAAAUAAUGAAAUGUGAUGUGAAUCUUGAAAUGAAUUCAAGUAUCAAAAUGAUUAAUCAUGCCAUUGAAUGAGUUGGACUACUAAAUGCUAUAUAUAUGAAAUAUCACUGAUAUGUGCUUGAACAUAUGAAAUAUUAUUACCAUGUGCUAAAUUUUGUGAACUCUAUUGAAUGUGAAUAAAGAAUGAGUAAGUUGGCAUUAUUGAUUUGAUACAUAUGUUUUAUAACAUUACUUAUUGCAUUUUUAUAUCUUAUCUAUCCAUAUCAAGUUUAAAUUAUUCGGAUUAUAGAAAUACCACUAAGUUAUACUCAGUGUGCGGUUUUGUUUUCUGUACGCAAGCUAGGUACUUUUCAACAUAUCGCAGACUCAGCAUCAAACAAUAAAUCCCGAGCUCAAGUGUGGUUAUAUCUUAUUUUGAAAUGGCAUGUACCGAGGAAGUCUUUGGUUGAUAGUUGGUUUGUCAAUGUCAUGUUAUUUUGUUUUAAGGUGAAUUGAUGGUUACUUAUAUAAUUGUGGUUUAAGCUAUGUUUUUGUAUGUAGUCUAAUUAAUGUGUUGGUAUGUGUUGUAGUUUAAAACUUGGUAGCCUAAGUAGUUAAAGGUUAGUUCAAUAUUAGUUAAUUUGAUAUGAAUGAAAGUCUUUGAAUGGUUGAUGUGUUUGAUGAUAUAAAAUGUAGCACCAAUGAGGGUACAUUGGCUAGACACUUAAGGUGGUUUAUUUGGUUUGUUUUAAGCAUGCUUAAUCGUGUUUUGAACAAGUUAAAUGACUGUUAAUUAAGUUUCUUAGUGUCUAAGUAAGUAGGAAAUGGUAAACUUGAGUUUUAAGGUACUUAUAGGUGCAUAUGGCCUAAACACGGUCUGUCACACGAUCGUGUUGAAAAAUAGUAUAGGUGUAGUUUCCACACGGGCUGACAC